GAUGAAGAACGCAGCGAAAUGCGAUAAGUAGUGUGAAUUGCAGAAUUCAGUGAAUCAUCGAAUCUUUGAACGCACAUUGCGCCCCUUGGUAUCCCGAGGGGCAUGCCUGUUCGAGCGUCAUUUCACCACUCAAGCCUGGCUUGGUGUUGGGCGACGUCCCCUUUGGGGACGCGCCUCGAAGCGCUCGGCGGCGUGGCACCGGCUUUAAGCGUAGCAGAAUCUUUCGCUUUGGAAGUCGGGGCCCCGUCUGCCGGAAGACCUACUCGCAAGGUUGACCUCGGAUCAGGCAGGGAUACCCGCUGAACUUAAGCAUAUCAAUAAGCGGAGA
RNAcentral lists this unclassified non-coding RNA (328 nucleotides) under soil metagenome. Its description in RNAcentral is "partial contains 5.8S ribosomal RNA, internal transcribed spacer 2, and large subunit ribosomal RNA". The stretch from base 1 to 120 matches the Rfam family "5.8S ribosomal RNA", at positions 35 to 154 of the family's 154-position model. The record is from RNAcentral.